RNAcentral lists this ribosomal RNA (466 nucleotides) under Dichaetophora sp. BG1 (Toda). Its description in RNAcentral is "partial 28S ribosomal RNA". It matches the Rfam family "Eukaryotic large subunit ribosomal RNA", at positions 1508 to 1897 of the family's 3401-position model. The record is from RNAcentral. Lineage: Eukaryota; Metazoa; Arthropoda; Insecta; Diptera; Drosophilidae.
UUCGUGUGAACAGUGGUUGAUCACGAGUUAGUCGGUCCUAAGUUCAAGGCGAAAGCCGAAAAUUUUCAAGUAAAGAAAAAUCAAAUUAAUAAGUCAAUAUGGUAGAUUUUUAUACACUUGAAUAAUUUUGAACGAAAGGGAAUACGGUUCCAAUUCCGUAACCUGUUGAGUAUCCGUUUGUUAUUAAAUAUGGGCCUCGUGCUCAUCCUGGCAACAGGAACGACCAUAAAGAAGCCGUCGAGAGGUAUCGGAAGAGUUUUCUUUUCUGUUUUAUAGCCGUACUACCAUGGAAGUCUUUCGCAGAGAGAUAUGGUAGAUGGGCUAGAAGAGCAUGACAUAUACUGUUGUGUCGAUAUUUUCUCCUCGGACCUUGAAAAUUUAUGGUGGGGAUACGCAAACUUCUCAACAGGCCGUACCAAUAUCCGCAGCUGGUCUCCAAGGUGAAGAGUCUCUAGUCGAUAGAAUA